RNAcentral lists this ribosomal RNA (440 nucleotides) under uncultured bacterium. RNAcentral describes it as "partial 16S ribosomal RNA". It matches the Rfam family "Bacterial small subunit ribosomal RNA", at positions 339 to 795 of the family's 1533-position model. The record is from RNAcentral.
CUACGGGACGCAGCAGUGGGGAAUAUUGCACAAUGGAGGAAACUCUGAUGCAGCAACGCCGCGUGGAGGAUGACACUUUUCGGAGCGUAAACUCCUUUUAUAUAGGAAGAAGAUGACGGUACUAUAUGAAUAAGCGCCGGCUAACUCCGUGCCAGCAGCCGCGGUAAUGACGGAGGGCGCAAGCGUUACUCGGAAUCACUGGGCGUAAAGAGCGUGUAGGCGGAUUAAAAAGUCAGAAGUGAAAUCCUAUAGCUUAACUAUAGAACUGCUUCUGAAACUCUUAAUCUAGAAUAUGGGAGAGGUAGAUGGAAUUGCUGGUGUAGGGGUAAAAUCCGUAGAGAUCAGAAGGAAUACCGAUUGCGAAGGCGAUCUACUAGAACAUUAUUGACGCUGAGACGCGAAAGCGUGGGGAGCAAACAGGAUUAGAUACCCUGGUAGUC